Molecule: long non-coding RNA, 286 nt
Organism: Homarus americanus (American lobster)
Lineage: Eukaryota; Metazoa; Arthropoda; Malacostraca; Decapoda; Nephropidae
Exons: 3
Source: RefSeq, a predicted model, not a curated record
UCCGUCGCCCCCGUCCUCGACACAACAAGGACCUCUCUCUUCCGUCGCAACUCUUGGCCGUCGGUUAGUGACUCUUGAGAGAGGAGCAUGAAGCUGGGUCACCUGCUGACAGUACAGUGGUGGGUGACGGUGAUGGCCAUGGCUCGCCUUGUAGACCGACCUACACUCCACACAGAUCAAGCAGGUGUUGCAUACGAGGGAAGGAUUCAUUACCUCAGUCACCACAACACACCACUGACUCACCACCACCACAACAACACAUCACUGACACAUCAUCACCACAACG